Capra hircus (goat) is the source of this 72-nucleotide non-coding RNA. Lineage: Eukaryota; Metazoa; Chordata; Mammalia; Artiodactyla; Bovidae. The record is from the annotation of a RefSeq genome assembly.
UCCCUGCUGGUCCAGUGCUAAGAUUCUGCACUCCUGAUGCAGGGGGCCCAGGUUCGAUUCCUGGUCAGGGAA